UACGUAGGGUGCGAGCGUUAAUCGGAAUUACUGGGCGUAAAGCGUGCGCAGGCGGUUCGCUGUGUCCGAUGUGAAAGCCCCGGGCUUAACCUGGGAAUGGCAUUGGAAACUGGCGGGCUUGAGUGUGGCAGAGGGGGGUGGAAUUCCGCGUGUAGCAGUGAAAUGCGUAGAGAUGUGGAGGAACACCGAUGGCGAAGGCAGCCCCCUGGGUCAAGAUUGACGCUCAUGCACGAAAGCGUGGGGAGCAAACAGG
Molecule: ribosomal RNA, 253 nt
Filed under: uncultured bacterium
Lineage: Bacteria
Description: partial 16S ribosomal RNA
Rfam family: Bacterial small subunit ribosomal RNA
Source: RNAcentral